RNAcentral lists this ribosomal RNA (253 nucleotides) under uncultured bacterium. RNAcentral's name for it is "partial 16S ribosomal RNA". It matches the Rfam family "Bacterial small subunit ribosomal RNA", at positions 524 to 776 of the family's 1533-position model. The record is from RNAcentral.
UACGGAGGGUCCAAGCGUUAUCCGGAUUUAUUGGGUUUAAAGGGUGCGUAGGCGGCCUGUUAAGUCAGGGGUGAAAGACGGUAGCUCAACUAUCGCAGUGCCCUUGAUACUGAUGGGCUUGAAUACACUAGAGGUAGGCGGAAUGUGACAAGUAGCGGUGAAAUGCAUAGAUAUGUCACAGAACACCGAUUGCGAAGGCAGCUUACUAUGGUGCCAUUGACGCUGAGGCACGAAAGCGUGGGGAUCAAACAGG